Molecule: ribosomal RNA, 562 nt
Filed under: uncultured bacterium
Lineage: Bacteria
Description: bacterial SSU rRNA
Rfam family: Bacterial small subunit ribosomal RNA
Source: RNAcentral
GGAAUCUGCCCCGACGUGGGGGAUAACGUAGGGAAACUUACGCUAAUACCGCAUACGUCUUACGGGAGAAAGCGGGGGAUCGCAAGACCUCGCGCGGCGGGAUGAGCCGAUGCCGGAUUAGCUAGUUGGCGGGGUAAAGGCCCACCAAGGCGACGAUCCGUAGCUGGUCUGAGAGGAUGAUCAGCCACACUGGGACUGAGACACGGCCCAGACUCCUACGGGAGGCAGCAGUGGGGAAUAUUGGACAAUGGGGGCAACCCUGAUCCAGCAAUGCCGCGUGUGUGAAGAAGGCCUUCGGGUUGUAAAGCACUUUUAUCAGGAAAGAAAUCCGGUGGCUUAAUACGUUGCCGGGAUGACGGAACCUGAGGAAUAAGCACCGGCUAACUUCGUGCCAGCAGCCGCGGUAAUACGAAGGGUGCAAGCGUUAAUCGGAAUUACUGGGCGUAAAGGGUGCGUAGGCGGCCCGUUAAAGUUCGAUGUGAAAGCCCCCGGGCUCAACCUGGGAAUGGCAUCGAAAACUGGCAGGCUGGAGUGCGGUAAAAGGGGUGGGUGGAAUUCCCGG